ACGAACGCUGGCGGCGCGCUUAAUGCAUGCAAGUCGGGCGGGACUCCGCAAGGGGUCCAGCGGCAGACGGCUGAGUAACGCGUGAGUUACCUGCCCCGGAAAGGGGAAUAACACCGAGAAAUCGGUGCUAAUGCCACGUACGCUCGGCGGCGUAAGGCCGUCGAGGAAAGGAGCCGGGGUAACCUGGCUCCGUUCUGGGAGGGGCUCGCGUCCUAUCAGGUAGUCGGCGGGGUAAUGGCCCACCGAGCCUAAGACGGGUAGCCGGAGUGAGAGCUUGUACGGCCAGAGGGGGACUGAGAUACGGCCCCCACUCCUACGGGAGGCAGCAGCAGGGAAUUUUGCCCAAUGGGCGCAAGCCUGAGGCAGCGACGCCGCGUGAGGGACGAAGGCCUUCGGGUCGUAAACCUCUUUUGUCAGGGAAGAGUAAGGACGGUACCUGGCGAAUAAGCAACGGCUAACUACGU
This 464-nucleotide ribosomal RNA is filed under the name uncultured bacterium. Its description in RNAcentral is "bacterial SSU rRNA". It matches the Rfam family "Bacterial small subunit ribosomal RNA", at positions 29 to 506 of the family's 1533-position model. The record is from RNAcentral.